This 85-nucleotide transfer RNA is filed under the name Felis catus (domestic cat). It matches the Rfam family "tRNA". Rfam says of the family: Transfer RNA (tRNA) molecules are approximately 80 nucleotides in length. Their secondary structure includes four short double-helical elements and three loops (D, anti-codon, and T loops). The record is from Rfam by way of RNAcentral. Lineage: Eukaryota; Metazoa; Chordata; Mammalia; Carnivora; Felidae.
GUCUGGGUGGCUCAGUCAGUUAAGCAUCCGACUUCGGCUCAGGUCAUGAUUUUACGGCUCGUGGGUUCAAGCCCUGCCUCGGACU